This 70-nucleotide microRNA precursor is filed under the name Tursiops truncatus (common bottlenose dolphin). RNAcentral's name for it is "miRNA (ENSTTRG00000025138.1)". The record is from RNAcentral. Lineage: Eukaryota; Metazoa; Chordata; Mammalia; Artiodactyla; Delphinidae.
UUGGCCAAAAAGUUCGUUUGGGUUUUCCCAUAAGAUGUUACAGAAAAGCCUGAAUGAACUUUCUGGCCAA